This 253-nucleotide ribosomal RNA is filed under the name uncultured bacterium. Its description in RNAcentral is "partial 16S ribosomal RNA". It matches the Rfam family "Bacterial small subunit ribosomal RNA", at positions 524 to 776 of the family's 1533-position model. The record is from RNAcentral.
GACGGGGGAUGGAAGCGUUCUCCGGAAUCACUGGGCGUAAAGCGUCUGUCGGUGGUGAUGCAAGUCACUGGUGCAAAACUCUGGCUCAACCGGAGGAAAGCCAGUGAAACUGCAUGACUAGAGUGUGGGAGAGGUAGAAGGAAUUCCCUGAGUAGCGGUGAAAUGCGCAGAUACAGGGAAGAACACCGGAGGCGAAAGCGUUCUACUGGAACACAACUGACACUGAGAGACGAAAGCUAGGGGAGCGAAUGGG